RNAcentral lists this ribosomal RNA (500 nucleotides) under uncultured Myrionecta. RNAcentral describes it as "bacterial SSU rRNA". It matches the Rfam family "Eukaryotic small subunit ribosomal RNA", at positions 1212 to 1800 of the family's 1831-position model. The record is from RNAcentral. Lineage: Eukaryota; Ciliophora; Litostomatea; Cyclotrichida; Mesodiniidae.
AACUUACCAGGUCAAGACAUGGGCGUGAUUGACAGGCUAAUGACUUUUCUCGAUUCCAUGGAUGGUGGUGCAUGGUCGCACUUAGUUGGUGCAGUGAUUUGUCAGGUUUAUUCCGGUAACGAACGAGACCUCGGCCUUGUAAAUAGCUAUGCUGCUUACAGGGACAUUGGCGGCUACGCCAAGGAAGCUCGAGGCAAUUGCAGAUCUGGAAUGCCCUUAGAUGUCCUGGGUCGCACGCGUGCUACAAUGACGCCACGAACGAGCUUGCGUGAUGAAAGUUACGCAUAAUCAGCAGUCGGCGUCUUAAGGGAUAGUCUCUUGUAACUGUGGGACUCCAACUAGGAAUGUCUCGUAAGCACAAGUCAACAUCUUGUGUUGAUUACGUCCCUGCUCUUUGUACACACCGCCCGUCGCUCCUACCGAUCGAGUGUUUAGGUGAAUUUGAUGGACGUAAGGAAGUCAAAUAAACCUGAGCACUAGAGAAGAGAAGUCGACAUGUU